RNAcentral lists this ribosomal RNA (408 nucleotides) under uncultured bacterium. RNAcentral's name for it is "partial 16S ribosomal RNA". It matches the Rfam family "Bacterial small subunit ribosomal RNA", at positions 28 to 526 of the family's 1533-position model. The record is from RNAcentral.
GACGAACGCUGGCGGCGUGCUUAACACAUGCAAGUCGAACGAAGUGGCGAACGGGUGAGUAAUACGUGGGUAACCUGCCCUCCUUUUCGGGAUAAGCCUUGGAAACGGGGUCUAAUACCGACUAAAGGGGGAUGGGCUCGCGGCCUAUCAGCUUGUUGGUGGGGUGAUGGCCUACCAAGGCGGUGACGGGUAGCCGGCCUGAGAGGGUGACCGGUCAUAGUGGGACUGAGAUACGGCCCAGAGACAUACGCGCGGCGGCAGUCGGGGGUAGUGCCAGAUGUGUGUAAGACUCAUGCAGUUAGGCCGUGUGGGGGAUGCAGGCUUACGCGUUGUACGCCUAAAAGGCCAUCGACCGGGUGACUGCCGCGGAAGCGCCGGCUAACUACGUGCCAGCAGCCGCGGUAAUAC